AGUGAACGCUGGCGGUAGGCCUAACACAUGCAAGUCGAACGGCAGCACAGUAAGAGCUUGCUCUUACGGGUGGCGAGUGGCGGACGGGUGAGGAAUACAUCGGAAUCUACUUUUUCGUGGGGGAUAACGUAGGGAAACUUACGCUAAUACCGCAUACGACCUACGGGUGAAAGCAGGGGAUCUUCGGACCUUGCGCGAUUGAAUGAGCCGAUGUCGGAUUAGCUAGUUGGCGGGGUAAGGGCCCACCAAGGCGACGAUCCGUAGCUGGUCUGAGAGGAUGAUCAGCCACACUGGAACUGAGACACGGUCCAGACUCCUACGGGAGGCAGCAGUGGGGAAUAUUGGACAAUGGGCGCAAGCCUGAUCCAGCUAUACCGCGUGGGUGAAGAAGGCCUUCGGGUUGUAAAGCCCUUUUGUUGGGAAAGAAAAGCAGCAGGUUAAUACCCCGCUGUUCUGACGGUACCCAAAGAAUAAGCACCGGCUAACUUCGUG
Molecule: ribosomal RNA, 492 nt
Filed under: uncultured bacterium
Lineage: Bacteria
Description: partial 16S ribosomal RNA
Rfam family: Bacterial small subunit ribosomal RNA
Source: RNAcentral